This 219-nucleotide long non-coding RNA is filed under the name Mytilus galloprovincialis (Mediterranean mussel). The record is from RNAcentral. Lineage: Eukaryota; Metazoa; Mollusca; Bivalvia; Mytilida; Mytilidae.
AUAUAAACAAACGACAAACACUGAAUUACAGGCUCCUGACUUGGGACAGGCACAUACAUAAAUACUGUGGCGGGGUUAAACAUGUUAGCGGGAUCCCAACCCUCCCCUAACCUGGGACAGUGGUAUAACAGUACAACAUAAGAACGAACUAUAAAAUCAGUUGAAAAAGGCUUAACUCAUCAGAUGGACAAAAAUACAAGUGGACGUGGCCGGGUACUU